Molecule: ribosomal RNA, 940 nt
Filed under: Salmonella enterica subsp. enterica serovar Infantis
Lineage: Bacteria; Pseudomonadati; Pseudomonadota; Gammaproteobacteria; Enterobacterales; Enterobacteriaceae
Description: partial 23S ribosomal RNA
Source: RNAcentral
AAUGAUGGCCAGGCUGUCUCCACCCGAGACUCAGUGAAAUUGAACUCGCUGUGAAGAUGCAGUGUACCCGCGGCAAGACGGAAAGACCCCGUGAACCUUUACUAUAGCUUGACACUGAACAUUGAGCCUUGAUGUGUAGGAUAGGUGGGAGGCUUUGAAGYGUGGACGCCAGUCUGCRUGGAGCCGACCUUGAAAUACCACCCUUUAAUGUUUGAUGUUCUAACGUGGAYCCGUAAUCCGGGUUGCGGACAGUGUCUGGUGGGUAGUUUGACUGGGGCGGUCUCCUCCUAAAGAGUAACGGAGGAGCACGAAGGUUGGCUAAUCCUGGUCGGACAUCAGGAGGUUAGUGCAAUGGCAUAAGCCAGCUUGACUGCGAGCGUGACGGCGCGAGCAGGUGCGAAAGCAGGUCAUAGUGAUCCGGUGGUUCUGAAUGGAAGGGCCAUCGCUCAACGGAUAAAAGGUACUCCGGGGAUAACAGGCUGAUACCGCCCAAGAGUUCAUAUCGACGGCGGUGUUUGGCACCUCGAUGUCGGCUCAUCACAUCCUGGGGCUGAAGUAGGUCCCAAGGGUAUGGCUGUUCGCCAUUUAAAGUGGUACGCGAGCUGGGUUUAGAACGUCGUGAGACAGUUCGGUCCCUAUCUGCCGUGGGCGCUGGAGAACUGAGGGGGGCUGCUCCUAGUACGAGAGGACCGGAGUGGACGCAUCACUGGUGUUCGGGUUGUCAUGCCAAUGGCACUGCCCGGUAGCUAAAUGCGGAAGAGAUAAGUGCUGAAAGCAUCUAAGCACGAAACUUGCCCCGAGAUGAGUUCUCCCUGAGACUUAGAGUCUCCUGAAGGAACGUUGAAGACGACGACGUUGAUAGGCCGGGUGUGUAAGCGCAGCGAUGCGUUGAGCUAACCGGUACUAAUGAACCGUGAGGCUUAACCUUACAACGCCGAAG